GAUGAACGCUAGCGAUAGGCUUAACACAUGCAAGUCGAGGGGCAGCAUGGUCUUAGCUUGCUAAGACUGAUGGCGACCGGCGCAUGGGUGCGUAACGCGUAUGCAACUUGCCUCACAGAGGGGGAUAACCCGUCGAAAGACGGACUAAUACCGCGUACACUUGGGAUAGGGCAUCCUGACCCAAGGAAAUGAAAUUCGCUGUGAGAUAGGCAUGCGUCCCAUUAGCUAGUUGGUGAGGUAACGGCUCACCAAGGCGACGAUGGGUAGGGGAACUGAGAGGUUGAACCCCCACACUGGUACUGAGACACGGACCAGACUCCUACGGGAGGCAGCAGUGAGGAAUAUUGGUCAAUGGGCGAGAGCCUGAACCAGCCAAGUCGCGUGAAGGAUGACUGUCUUAUGGAUUGUAAACUUCUUUUAUACGGGAAUAACAAGAGCCACGUGUGGCUCCCUGCAUGUACCGUAUGAAUAAGCAUCGGCUAACUCCGUG
This 490-nucleotide ribosomal RNA is filed under the name uncultured bacterium. RNAcentral describes it as "partial 16S ribosomal RNA". It matches the Rfam family "Bacterial small subunit ribosomal RNA", at positions 28 to 507 of the family's 1533-position model. The record is from RNAcentral.